Molecule: long non-coding RNA, 206 nt
Filed under: Elaeis guineensis (African oil palm)
Lineage: Eukaryota; Viridiplantae; Streptophyta; Magnoliopsida; Arecales; Arecaceae
Description: long non-coding RNA (EGUI_LNC011155)
Source: RNAcentral
UUGGUAAUAGAUGGAUUGCUUGGGUGUGCUCCUUGUUAGAUUCCUCUGGUGCUGGUCAUUGACAAUUCCUCCGAUCCUUGGUUUAUUAAUCGCAUAGGAUUGAAACAAGGUAAUCCGCUACCUCGUCUCUUUUUUAUCUUGGUGGUUGAUACUCUAACUAGGAUCUUGAAGACAGCCAAUUCAGAGGGGCUGCUGGAUGGUAUUGG